CUCGGCGCUCUGCAACUCAAAGCCGCUGCCUC
RNAcentral lists this non-coding RNA (32 nucleotides) under Geobacter sulfurreducens KN400. Lineage: Bacteria; Pseudomonadati; Thermodesulfobacteriota; Desulfuromonadia; Geobacterales; Geobacteraceae. The record is from RNAcentral.